UCCUUUUUCAAAUCAGUGAAAUUAAUCUCCCCGUGAAGAAGCGGGGAUACUCAUAUAAGACGAGAAGACCCCAUGGAGCUUCAAACCCAACUACACCCCUAGCUCUUAUAGCCCCACAACCCCCCUAGGCGCCGUGUGCUUGGUUUUAGGUUGGGGCGACCGCGGAGUACAAUAAAACCUCCACAAUGAAUGGGAACACCCCCUUAUCUGAGGGCCACACCCCCUAAGAAUUAGAACACUAACAUAAAAUGAUCCAUUACUUGAUCAAUGAACCAAGUUACCCUGGGGAUAACAGCGCAAUCCAUUUCAAGAGCCCCUAUCGACAAAUGGGUUUACGACCUCGAUGUUGGAUCAGGGUACCCCAGUGGUGCAGCAGCUACUAACGGUUCGUUUGUUCAACGAUUAAAACCCU
RNAcentral lists this ribosomal RNA (412 nucleotides) under Mantidactylus melanopleura. Its description in RNAcentral is "partial 16S ribosomal RNA". It matches the Rfam family "Bacterial large subunit ribosomal RNA", at positions 2021 to 2597 of the family's 2925-position model. Lineage: Eukaryota; Metazoa; Chordata; Amphibia; Anura; Mantellidae. The record is from RNAcentral.